Molecule: ribosomal RNA, 476 nt
Filed under: Fusarium sp. bc_besc_351e
Lineage: Eukaryota; Fungi; Ascomycota; Sordariomycetes; Hypocreales; Nectriaceae
Description: eukaryotic LSU rRNA
Rfam family: 5.8S ribosomal RNA (bases 119-272)
Source: RNAcentral
CAUACCACUUGUUGCCUCGGCGGAUCAGCCCGCUCCCGGUAAAACGGGACGGCCCGCCAGAGGACCCCUAAACUCUGUUUCUAUAUGUAACUUCUGAGUAAAACCAUAAAUAAAUCAAAACUUUCAACAACGGAUCUCUUGGUUCUGGCAUCGAUGAAGAACGCAGCAAAAUGCGAUAAGUAAUGUGAAUUGCAGAAUUCAGUGAAUCAUCGAAUCUUUGAACGCACAUUGCGCCCGCCAGUAUUCUGGCGGGCAUGCCUGUUCGAGCGUCAUUUCAACCCUCAAGCACAGCUUGGUGUUGGGACUCGCGUUAAUUCGCGUUCCUCAAAUUGAUUGGCGGUCACGUCGAGCUUCCAUAGCGUAGUAGUAAAACCCUCGUUACUGGUAAUCGUCGCGGCCACGCCGUUAAACCCCAACUUCUGAAUGUUGACCUCGGAUCAGGUAGGAAUACCCGCUGAACUUAAGCAUAUCAAUAA